CAAAGGCAUUUUCAAGGCUUUGGCCUUGAGAGGUUCUCCCACAACCAAGAAGAAAAAGAAAGGAGAGGAAAGAAGGAAAGAAAAGAGAGAAAGGAAGGAAGGUUUGGCUUGGAGAAACUAGAGAAAAAUUGAGAGGUAUUUCCUCCCACCCGCACACCAUUGUUGAAGUUUAAGGAGAGUUAGGUAAUUUAGCUUAAAUAUUUCAAGCAAAAGAAUACCUUAUGGGAGCCAAGCAAAACCAUGCAUGUUGGUGAAUCACAAGGAAUGUGAAAUUUUGCUAUCAAGGAGCUUGAGAUUCCUGGAUUUUAGUUCAAGUUGAAUUAUUGAGGAAAGAUAAGUAAUCGGUACAAGUGCAUCACUCAGCACAUUGAGAGUAGCUGCAACGUAAACAAUGGCAUCUCUUAGACUUCCACUCCGAGUCGUUCCGCUGCCAAGAGGUCGUGUUGCGUCAAGUAGUCAGACUUAUAAUGAUAAAUAGUUUGUGAAAAUGUAUUUGCUAAAACUUGAGGUUGUGUAAUGAUUAUAACUUAUUAUGGUGAAUAUAUU
This is a long non-coding RNA of Theobroma umbraticum, 546 nucleotides long. RefSeq lists it as uncharacterized. NCBI's taxonomy places the organism in Eukaryota, Viridiplantae, Streptophyta, Magnoliopsida, Malvales, Malvaceae. The record is from RefSeq and is a predicted model, not a curated record.